Oxyura jamaicensis (ruddy duck) is the source of this 281-nucleotide long non-coding RNA. RefSeq lists it as uncharacterized. NCBI's taxonomy places the organism in Eukaryota, Metazoa, Chordata, Aves, Anseriformes, Anatidae. The transcript has 3 exons. The record is from RefSeq and is a predicted model, not a curated record.
GGAAAAGCUGGUGAAACAGAUGAAAGCAUCGCGUGGACUGUACUUGAUCUGUGGACUACCUGUAGAACCUGCAGAACUCAUCAGCAUCCCCUCUACUGCUUAUAUUCUACUUGAUGUAAAGGUUGUUGCUAGUUCUGUAAGAAAAAAAAGAAAAAAAAACCUUGCAAACAGAGAACCAAUUUGCUUAAAGUUUACCUUACGCUGAAAGUUGUGGGCACACGGAGCAGAACUGGAAUAUUAUAUUUGAAUUCAUCUUAACACAGAGCAGGCAGAACAAUAAU